Long non-coding RNA from Felis catus (domestic cat), 5516 nucleotides. RefSeq lists it as uncharacterized. The transcript has 2 exons. Lineage: Eukaryota; Metazoa; Chordata; Mammalia; Carnivora; Felidae. The record is from RefSeq and is a predicted model, not a curated record.
AUCUACAGACGAAUUAAGUCACAGCAACACGGUCAUACUGUGUUUUCUAAGCUGCAUGACAUCAUCAAAUAACUGCUUAGAAACAACGUAUUUAUCGAUUUAUCAUUUAACUCCACAAGAUCCCUGUGCGGGACAUUUCAUCAUAGCCGUUUUACAGAUGAGGAAACGGGCCGAGAGGCAGGCACGGGACCGUCCGGCACAGUCCAUCUUCCAUGAAAUCGGACUGGAGCACAAAACUGCCCAGGUAGAGGCCACCUUGUCUCAGCACUCCCCCGACACCUCCCUCCUGAGAUGAGGCGUGGCCCUGUCCACACCAGGUUUCCAAGGGAAAAAGAGCCAAGCGAUGGGGGUAACGGUCGCCUCACUUGUUUGGCCACGGCUCGUCCCGGACUCGGUCCCUUUCCCCUUCUCCCCGUGACCCGGCACGUGGACGUGCCAUAACUCACUUUCAAUCAUGAAAGCCAGGACAACACCCAGAGGCUGCCCCACGCCCUGGACUGCUCACCUCAGUCCCUCCUCUCUUCUCUAAUUCAUGGUAAGCAGCCUAGCUUUGGUCGUGAUGCGCCAAGGUCGCCCAGCGUGGUGGUGGACGGGCCCGGCGGUAGACUCCAGGUUCUAAUACAUCACUCUAUGUGCCAGGCCCUGUCUCCAGGUACCAGGGUUGAAGCAAUGAACGAAACCACCAAGGAUGCGCCCCCAAAGGUGGAUCUCUUAAAAACGUCCAUCCUGUCAUCACCCCCUGCUCCAAGCCCUCCACGGCUUCCCACGGCCAUCAGGAUAAAGGCCACUCUGCUUUCUGUGGCUUUCAAAGUCAUACACAGUGAGGCCCCUGCAGCCUUCAAUGUCACCUGUGUCCUUUCCUGCACUCACUCCCCGGGACACUGCCUGCCUGUGACCCUCAAGCAGGACAAACUCUCUGCUGCCUCAGGGCCAUUGCACAUGCUGUCUUCUCUGUCUACAGCACUCUUCUGGAUCUGAAGCUGCCUCUCCAGAAAAGCCUUCUCCAACCAAUGCCCCAUGGAAGCCUUCGGAUCUGAGCUCAGAUACGCACUGCUUCGGGAAGCCCUCCCCGGCCCUCGCUCUGGCUCUGGGCGUCUGCAGCUCUGUCGGCUUCCCCCAUCCCAGCCCUGACCGCUCUGGGUUCUCACGCUCCACCUUCCUCUGCGCUUCCUCGCUGCUGAGUCUUCUGCAGUGCCCGGGACCCGUAAAGGUACCAAAAUAUAUUUAUGGGAAAGCAGAAGGAUCGUAGCAAGUAUUUUUAAAAGGUCAUUUUUAUAUUAAUAACACCAGCAGAAUGAACAUUCAGGAGGGCCUCCCAUCCGAGGUUCUGCACCAGAUGCAGGUGCAGAUACAUCACUGAAUUCUCACUACGUCACUGUUUAUUACCUCCAUUUUACAGAUGAGGAAACUGAGGCUCAGGGAGGUGAUGCUGCUUGCCCAGGGUCUCACAAGCUGGGAAACGGCAGAGCAGGGAGUGAGGUGAGCCCUUCAGCCCUGGCAGCCAUUCCCCUGAUCUCCCGCCUUCUUCUGGAACCCCUGCUGUCCCUCCCGCCCUGCCCGGAAAGCCCCCACCUAUGGCUCUGCACUUGAACGUCUUGGGGUCCAGGUGGCGGAGCUGCAUGUGGGCCAGAGCAGUGGGGCCGGCGCAGGCCCCAGUCCCCACGCUGGCAUUCACGGUGGGCAUCCACUGCAGCAGCCAGAGGACGCGGCAGUCACACUGGAUCGGGUUCCCGCGGAGGUCCCUGGGGCAAGAGGCCGGGGAGGGGCUGCGACCUGGCUUCCACCGCCCCCUGGAGGCCACACUCCCCGCCCCCUCCCCGGGCAAGGGUUCGGGAUGGGGCCCCAGAGGUGAGUGAGGAAAUAUGUGAGGACCGUUGCAGCCGUAACUUAGUUAUGUCAACCGAAAGUGGGCACAGCAAUCCGCUUCCCUCUCAAACAUUCCCCAACUCCCCGACCCGCCCAGCCCCCUUGAGCCUCACACAUGAGUUAGGGUCUCCAGGCCUCGGAACAGGAAUCUGGGGAGGGUCUCGAGAUUAUUACUGGCCAGGCUCCUGGUGGAAGGAGAGAGAGAGAGGAGGAACCGUCACCAGCUACCUGGAUGCCCCUCGUGAUGGGGUGAUGGGGUCCGGGGGAGCCUGUCAGGGCGGGCUGGUGAGCAGAGGGGCGAGGCCUUGGGGGCACGCACAGGUGUGUGAGUGAGCGAAGUCCUCUGAGAGCGUUCUUAGAGAUGGAGCCAAUGUCAUUGUCCUCGAUGAAGCUGUGGAGAGAAGGCAUGGUGAGCGGGAGGCCCUGGGUUCCCUGCUGUGGCCCCGUCGUGCUUGGGGGGAACUCACCCCACGGGAGCCCUAGGCCCCUGGAAUGUGCCGACGCCUCCCCGGAAACCUCUCCUCCCCAGGGUCCCAGACUACAAUCCCAGGAGCCAGGAGCCUAACCCUGUGCUCGUGUCCAGCCUGACAGCGAACGCUGCCACCCCAUCACCACCACUGCCACCAUUUCCAGAAGCACUGGCACUGGGACAGGCGCUCCCGGUACCAACGGCCCCACUGUCCCCAGCACCCCCUUCUCUACCCGCCACGAGCACCCCUACAGCCACAGUUUUCCCACAUACCGGCACCUCCGUCGUCCCCGCCAAGCCCAGUACCUACCACGUCGCCCUUACGCCCACACGACGCCGACGCCGACAUCCUACCCACAGCCGCCGCCAAUAGCAACACCGAUAUGUGAUGGCCAACACCCACGACAAUGAUAACACUAACAUCGACCGCUCAGACUCCGUCAUCAAUAUCGCCACCGGCGCGAUCGCCAUCGGGUCCGCCAUCUUUGCCAACGUCAUCCCCACUCCGUGGUCCUCCUUCGUGCCGACACUUCCCCGCCAGCGGCCGCAGCAUCGCCUUCAACCCCGUUAUCGCCAACACCGGCCCGAUGCCGGCGUCGUCCUACCGCCUUCCCCGCCACCCCUACCAUCACUGCCUCAGAGUUGUCUCCCGUUAAUUCGAAACAUCUCCUUGCCUCCGGCCUCUCUGUCCGCUCUCCGGGCUCCCGUAAGUCGGGUAGGGCCAGAAACAGUCUUGGGUUCCCUAGGCCCUUUGUGCACCUUGCAGCACAGAGAGGGGAGGUGAGCAGGCUUCUUGCCAAGACGCCAGGCCUCUUGCCCCUCCAGGAGGGACCCUUGUCCGGACCCUCCCGCCCGUGCCAGUAAGUCUCUAUACCUCCCUCCACUCUAGGAGCCACACUCUACCAAGCCCCCGUCCCUGCCCCCAUCCCCUGGCCUCACUCACAGGUACUGCAGGUGGGACAGGCCCGCAAAUGCAUCGUCCUCAAUCACAGAGAAGGAGUUGGAUGUGAAGAGGCUGGCAAGGGAGCAAGAAAGAAUUUUUGCAGAGUUGCUGCCCCCUCUCUGACAUUUUAACCUCGGCCUCCACCCUCAACCCAGGUGCGCACUGUCUCACACACACACACACACACACACACACACAUGCACACGGUGCUUUCACAGACAUGCACAUACACGUAUGUGUGCGCCACCCCCCGCCACGCACCUGCGUGAACACCCACCCACUCCCUCGAGCUAGUUGUCCACUCAGCUGGGCCCCACUCACAGCAGGUGCAGUGUGGGCACCCUCAGGAAGCUUCCGGCCUUCAGCUGGGUGAUUCCAGUCCUAACGAGUGAGCUGGGGACGUGGGCGAUGGUGGGUGAGGAGAAAACCGCCCCCAGGCUCCAGCCCCGCCCCAGAGCCGUCCCCUGUCUGGGGGACGCUGGCAUGCCACCCCAACCCUGGAUGUAUUUCCUUUACAUCCCAGGGACACAGGCAUUUGCCCUCCUCACUUGGCGAGGAUCCUGGCAACUUUCAGUCCUCCCUCCAGCUGUCCCCCUUCUGGGGCCCCAAACGUUGCCCCUGUGCUUUGGGAUUGCCCUUCCGCUCCUGUCCCAAUCCCAGCAGCCCCCUGUGAGGCAUCCCAACAUCCUUUGCUGCCCACCUCCCAAGAUCCCGAAGGGCCAUGCCCUCGGGGGCCCGGCCCCCUGCCCCCAAGCCCUGGGGCCCCAGGACUCCCAGCCUCACCCUCGCGGUGACACUCACAGUGACAGCAGGGUCGGGGAGAAGCUCUCGGGCAGGUCUGGAGAGCCCUCACACAGGGCACUAUCCUUGGAGCAGGAGCAGCUCGGAGGGCACUUUCCCUUUGGUGGUCUCCAGGCCACCCCGGCGCCCGCUCCGGCCAGCAGCAGCAGCAGCAGCACAACGCCUGCCCCUCCCAUCCCCCCUCACCCCCGCUGCGCCCCGGCUCCUCUCUGCCCACCCAGCUCUGUGGGCUGGGGCCACUACACGUCCCAUGCCAGGCGACCGUCCAUUCCUCCAGCUGGCACGCCCCGUCCUGGCUUCGCUCUCCUUCCUCCGUCUCUUUCAGCCUGUCUUUCUUCCCUAUCCCUUUGGUGUCUGAUUUUCUGUUUACUUCUUUUUCCCUGUCUGUCUCUGUCCCUUUUUGUAUUUCUGACUCAGGGAGUCAGCCUGUUUUCCACUCUCUCUCUUUAUUUCCGUCUGUCUCUCUAUCUCUGUCUCUCUCUCUGAGUCUCUGUCUGCCUGUUGGCCUGUGUGUGUGUCUCUCUCUCUGUCUGUUAUCUUUAUUUCUCACCCCCCUUUCCAGUUCCCCGUUCUUCCCCUCCUCCCACGCCCCUUCUCCUUGGAGGUUUGGGAAAGGGACUCACUGGGCACCGGGUGCGCCCAGCAAAGCAGCGUAAGGAGGAGGAGGGGGUCAGAGGCCAUAGGAAGAGCAGCCCUAAGGAAGGGACUGGAUGGCCCCAUGGGAGGGGAGGGGCCACAAAGGGCUGGAGCUGACCACUCUCAGCCAGCCCCCUCCCCAGAUUUCCCACUCCACCCCACUCAGGGAGUGUAAGGAGGAUGUCACCCGGGUGGGGACCGGAUGGCUCUGCAGGCGGAGGGGGUGGGAGAAGAGACAGCUGGGGGCUGGAGCCAUCCUGGCCACGCCCAGCCAGCCCCCUCCCCUGGCUCCCGGAGGGUGUGAUGUGCCCGGUCACCAAGGCCCAGCUGCUCCCUCUGGUGGCCAAACAGGGCAGGGCCGCUGCCCUGCCCCAAACCCACAGCCUCCAGGCCAGCCUGAAAUUAACCCCUUGAGUGCCCACCACCCGCCGUGGAUAAGGAACCAAUGCAAGCAAACAAUGGUGGUGAUGGUGCCACCCCCUCCCUCAGCGUUGGCUCUGCACUAGGCCCUGUCCUAAAAGUUUACUAGCUCGUGCUAACAGCUGUCUAAGGUUGACCUUAUUAUAUGGCUAUUUUACAGGCACAAACGCUGAGGAGAGAGGUCAAGUAAUUUGCGAUUUGGGUUGCUGACUGGGGCUGAGCCAGCACUCAAGCCCCAGCAGCCGGCUCCAGGGCCUGUCUCGUGAUUUUUGUGUUCUUUCUUGGGAGACCAGAACUCACGAACACUGGUUGUUUUCAUUUGGACUCUGCUUUUAGCAUUAAAUAAGCAAAAUCCAGAAAUAAAUGACACGUGUUCCCCAA